GAUGAACGCUGGCGGCGUGCCUAAUACAUGCAAGUCGAGCGAACGGACGAGAAGCUUGCUUCUCUGAUGUUAGCGGCGGACGGGUGAGUAACACGUGGAUAACCUACCUAUAUGACUGGGAUAACUUCGGGAAACCGGAGCUAAUACCGGAUAAUAUUUUGAACCGCAUGGUUCAAAAGUGAAAGACGGUCUUGCUGUCACUUAUAGAUGGAUCCGCGCUGCAUUAGCUAGUUGGUAAGGUAACGGCUUACCAAGGCAACGAUGCAUAGCCGACCUGAGAGGGUGAUCGGCCACACUGGAACUGAGACACGGUCCAGACUCCUACGGGAGGCAGCAGUAGGGAAUCUUCCGCAAUGGGCGAAAGCCUGACGGAGCAACGCCGCGUGAGUGAUGAAGGUCUUCGGAUCGUAAAACUCUGUUAUUAGGGAAGAACAUAUGUGUAAGUAACUGUGCACAUCUUGACGGUACCUAAUCAGAAAGCCACGGCUAACUACGUGCCAGCAGCCGCGGUAAUACGUAGGUGGCAAGCGUUAUCCGGAAUUAUUGGGCGUAAAGCGCGCGUAGGCGGUUUUUUAAGUCUGAUGUGAAAGCCCACGGCUCAACCGUGGAGGGUCAUUGGAAACUGGAAAACUUGAGUGCAGAAGAGGAAAGUGGAAUUCCAUGUGUAGCGGUGAAAUGCGCAGAGAUAUGGAGGAACACCAGUGGCGAAGGCGACUUUCUGGUCUGUAACUGACGCUGAUGUGCGAAAGCGUGGGGAUCAAACAGGAUUAGAUACCCUGGUAGUCCACGCCGUAAACGAUGAGUGCUAAGUGUUAGGGGGUUUCCGCCCCUUAGUGCUGCAGCUAACGCAUUAAGCACUCCGCCUGGGGAGUACGACCGCAAGGUUGAAACUCAAAGGAAUUGACGGGGACCCGCACAAGCGGUGGAGCAUGUGGUUUAAUUCGAAGCAACGCGAAGAACCUUACCAAAUCUUGACAUCCUUUGACAACUCUAGAGAUAGAGCCUUCCCCUUCGGGGGACAAAGUGACAGGUGGUGCAUGGUUGUCGUCAGCUCGUGUCGUGAGAUGUUGGGUUAAGUCCCGCAACGAGCGCAACCCUUAAGCUUAGUUGCCAUCAUUAAGUUGGGCACUCUAAGUUGACUGCCGGUGACAAACCGGAGGAAGGUGGGGAUGACGUCAAAUCAUCAUGCCCCUUAUGGUUUGGGCUACACACGUGCUACAAUGGACAAUACAAAGGGCAGCGAAACCGCGAGGUCAAGCAAAUCCCAUAAAGUUGUUCUCAGUUCGGAUUGUAGUCUGCAACUCGACUACAUGAAGCUGGAAUCGCUAGUAAUCGUAGAUCAGCAUGCUACGGUGAAUACGUUCCCGGGUCU
RNAcentral lists this ribosomal RNA (1372 nucleotides) under uncultured bacterium. RNAcentral's name for it is "bacterial SSU rRNA". It matches the Rfam family "Bacterial small subunit ribosomal RNA", at positions 28 to 1381 of the family's 1533-position model. The record is from RNAcentral.